CUAGUAUAAGCAUUAUACAGCGAAACUGCGAAUGGCUCAUUAAAUCAGUUAUCGUUUAUUUGAUAGUACCUUACUACUUGGAUAACCGUGGUAAUUCUAGAGCUAAUACAUGCUAAAAACCCCGACUCACGAAGGGGUGUAUUUAUUAGAUUAAAAACCAAUGCCCUUCGGGGCUCUUUGGUGAUUCAUAAUAACUUUUCGAAUCGCAUGGCCUUGCGCCGGCGAUGGUUCAUUCAAAUUUCUGCCCUAUCAACUUUCGAUGGCAGGGUCUUGGCCUGCCAUGGUUACAACGGGUAACGGAGGGUUAGGGCUCGACCCCGGAGAAGGAGCCUGAGAAACGGCUACUACAUCCAAGGAAGGCAGCAGGCGCGCAAAUUACCCAAUCCCGAUUCGGGGAGGUAGUGACAAUAAAUACUGAUACAGGGCUCUUUUGGGUCUUGUAAUUGGAAUGAGUACAAUUUAAAUCCCUUAACGAGGAACAAUUGGAGGGCAAGUCUGGUGCCAGCAGCCGCGGUAAUUCCAGCUCCAAUAGCGUAUAUUAAAGUUGUUGCAGUUAAAAAGCUCGUAGUUGAACCUUGGGCCUGGCUGGCCGGUCCGCCUCACCGCGUGCACUGGUUCGGCCGGGCCUUUCCCUCUGGGGAACCUCAUGGUCUUCACUGAUCGUGAUGGGGAACCAGGACUUUUACUGUGAAAAAAUUAGAGUGUUCAAAGCAGGCCUAUGCUCGAAUACAUUAGCAUGGAAUAAUAAAAUAGGACGUGUGGUUCUAUUUUGUUGGUUUCUAGGACCGCCGUAAUGAUUAAUAGGGACAGUCGGGGGCAUCAGUAUUCAAUUGUCAGAGGUGAAAUUCUUGGAUUUAUUGAAGACUAACUACUGCGAAAGCAUUUGCCAAGGAUGUUUUCAUUAAUCAGGAACGAAAGUUAGGGGAUCGAAGACGAUCAGAUACCGUCGUAGUCUUAACCAUAAACUAUGCCGACUAGGGAUCGGACGGUGUUACUUAUUGACCCGUUCGGCACCUUACGAGAAAUCAAAGUCUUUGGGUCU
RNAcentral lists this ribosomal RNA (1042 nucleotides) under Neopestalotiopsis petila. RNAcentral describes it as "SSU rRNA". It matches the Rfam family "Eukaryotic small subunit ribosomal RNA", at positions 60 to 1115 of the family's 1831-position model. RNAcentral also lists the same sequence under 1 other name. The record is from RNAcentral. Lineage: Eukaryota; Fungi; Ascomycota; Sordariomycetes; Amphisphaeriales; Sporocadaceae.